GACGAACGCUGGCGGCGUGCUUAACACAUGCGAGUCGAACGGAAAGGCCCUGCUUUUGUGGGGUGCUCGAGUGGCGAACGGGUGAGUAACACGUGAGUAACCUGCCCUUGACUUUGGGAUAACUUCAGGAAACUGGGGCUAAUACCGGAUAGGAGCUCCUGCUGCAUGGUGGAGGUUGGAAAGUUUCGGCGGUUGGGGAUGGACUCGCGGCUUAUCAGCUUGUUGGUGGGGUAGUGGCUUACCAAGGCUUUGACGGGUAGCCGGCCUGAGAGGGUGACCGGCCACAUUGGGACUGAGAUACGGCCCAGACUCCUACGGGAGGCAGCAGUGGGGAAUAUUGCACAAUGGGCGGAAGCCUGAUGCAGCAACGCCGCGUGCGGGAUGACGGCCUUCGGGUUGUAAACCGCUUUCGCCUGUGACGAAGCGUGAGUGACGGUAAUGGGUAAAGAAGCACCGGCUAACUACGUG
RNAcentral lists this ribosomal RNA (468 nucleotides) under uncultured bacterium. RNAcentral's name for it is "partial 16S ribosomal RNA". It matches the Rfam family "Bacterial small subunit ribosomal RNA", at positions 28 to 507 of the family's 1533-position model. The record is from RNAcentral.